This 331-nucleotide ribosomal RNA is filed under the name Blastocystis sp. subtype 1. Its description in RNAcentral is "SSU rRNA". It matches the Rfam family "Eukaryotic small subunit ribosomal RNA", at positions 706 to 1039 of the family's 1831-position model. Lineage: Eukaryota; Bigyra; Opalinata; Blastocystidae. The record is from RNAcentral.
UAUCCAGUAGUGGGUAUUCAGUUACUUACUAUUGUGUGUUGGUCCUUUACUGUGAGAAAAUUAGAGUGUUCAAAGCAGGCGUUUGCUUGAAUAGAUUAGCAUGGAAUAAUAAUUGAAGGCUUUCGUGUUCGAUUUGAUUGGUUUGUUCAUGGAAGCAAGGUUAAAAGGAACAGUUGGGGGUAUUCAUAUUCACUAGUUAGAGGUGAAAUUCUCGGAUUUAUGGAAGAUGAACAAGUGCGAAAGCAUUUACCAAGGAUGUUUUCAUUAAUCAAGAACGAAAGCUAGGGGAUCGAAGAGGAUUAGAUACCCUCGUAGUCUUAGCUAUAAACGA